UGCGUAGGCGGUUAGUUAAGUCUGUUGUGAAAUCCCUGGACUCAACCUGGGAAUGGCAAUGGAAACUGGCUAGCUAGAGUGUGUCAGAGGAUGGUGGUAUUUCCGGUGUAGCGGUGAAAUGCGUAGAGAUCGGAAGGAACAUCAGUGGCGAAGGCGGCCAUCUGGGACAACACUGACGCUGAAGCACGAAAGCGUGGGAGCAAACA
RNAcentral lists this ribosomal RNA (206 nucleotides) under uncultured bacterium. Its description in RNAcentral is "partial 16S ribosomal RNA". It matches the Rfam family "Bacterial small subunit ribosomal RNA", at positions 568 to 774 of the family's 1533-position model. The record is from RNAcentral.